Molecule: ribosomal RNA, 424 nt
Filed under: uncultured Halobacteriales archaeon
Lineage: Archaea; Methanobacteriati; Methanobacteriota; Halobacteria; Halobacteriales
Description: bacterial SSU rRNA
Rfam family: Archaeal small subunit ribosomal RNA
Source: RNAcentral
CCUACGGGGUGCAGCAGGCGCGAAAACUUUACAAUGCACGAAAGUGUGAUAAGGGAAUCCUAAGUGCUCAGGCAUUGCCUGGGCUUUUGCCAUAUGUAAAUAGUAUGGCGAAUAAGUAGUGGGUAAGACUGGUGCCAGCCGCCGCGGUAACACCAGCGCUACGAGUGGCAAUCACGUUUAUUGGGCCUAAAGCGUCCGUAGCAGGUUUUGUAAAUUUUUUGUGAAACUGCCAAGCUUAACUUGGCAAUGUGCAGGAAACACUGCAAGACUUGAGACCGGGAAGGGUCGGAGGUAUUCCUGAGGGAGCGGUAAAAUGCUAUAAUCUCAGGAGGACCACCGGUGGCGAAGGCGUCCGACUAGAACGGAUCUGACUGUGAGGGACGAAAGCCAGGGGAGCAAACCGGAUUAGAUACCCCCGUAGUCC